GUAAAGAUGCCAGAAAAAUUUUUGAUAUAUGGGGUUAAUUUAGGUUUAAUUUAUGAUUGGUUGUCUCUUUACU
This 73-nucleotide transfer RNA is filed under the name Echinococcus granulosus. RNAcentral describes it as "tRNA-Leu". Lineage: Eukaryota; Metazoa; Platyhelminthes; Cestoda; Cyclophyllidea; Taeniidae. The record is from RNAcentral.